RNAcentral lists this ribosomal RNA (422 nucleotides) under uncultured bacterium. Its description in RNAcentral is "bacterial SSU rRNA". It matches the Rfam family "Bacterial small subunit ribosomal RNA", at positions 355 to 774 of the family's 1533-position model. The record is from RNAcentral.
UAAGGAAUAUUGGACAAUGGUCGCAAGACUGAUCCAGCCAUGCCGCGUGCAGGAAGACGGCCCUAUGGGUUGUAAACUGCUUUUGUACCAGAGAAAACCUAUCUACGUGUAGAUAGCUGAUAGUAUGGUAAGAAUAAGCAUCGGCUAACUUCGUGCCAGCAGCCGCGGUAAGACGAAGGAUGCAAGCGUUAUCCGGAUUCAUUGGGUUUAAAGGGUGCGUAGGCGGGCUUGUAAGUCAGUGGUGAAAUCUCUCAGCUUAACUGAGAAACUGCCAUUGAUACUGCAGGCCUAGAGUAUAGAUGACGUUGGCGGAAUAUAACAUGUAGUGGUGAAAUACUUAGAUAUGUCAUAGAACACCGAUUGCGAAGGCAGCUAACGAAACUAUAACUGACGCUGAGGCACGAAAGUGCGGGGAUCAAACA